GUAAGAGAUAGGGUUCCUCAGCUAGAAGAACCCUUUAUAUAGUGGGGGGAAUCAGACCGUUUUCCCACUCUCUGCCCGAGCUCCAGCGGUACUACCGCUGCGUGCAGCUGUACUACCGCUGGCACUCCAGCGGUACUACCGUUGAACAGGGGCGGUACUACCGCCGCAUGGCGGUACUACCGCUGGGACUCCAGCGGUACUACCGCUGGGA
This 211-nucleotide long non-coding RNA is filed under the name Hordeum vulgare. RNAcentral describes it as "long non-coding RNA (HVUL_LNC011143)". Lineage: Eukaryota; Viridiplantae; Streptophyta; Magnoliopsida; Poales; Poaceae. The record is from RNAcentral.